AACAUAUAAUUCCAUUCACACUUUCAUUCCAUGAUUCACUUCACAAUAUUCAGAAACUCUCAAUACUCUUAUUUCAAAGAACAUAACAACAAAAGAAAAGAGGUAGCACCAAGCUUACCCCGGCUCACACUAUCAUAGUAAUGGCGGUUUCUUCCUCUCUCUCAUCCUCUUUAUCCUACCACAAGAUACCAACUGCUACAUCUCUAAUGAAAACUGCUUUUCCUAACUAUUCAUCCAUUUUAACUACUGAACUACCUUUCUAACAGUCAUCUAUUCCUGUUUACACUAUAAACUAAGUAUCUACAAAUCAGUAAAUAACUACUUAUUCUACAUAGCCCCACUCCUAACUAUGCAACGUCCUCGCAAACAACCAGUUUGAAAUUGAACUGGUGACUCCUUAGCAUUUUCCAUACUCAUUGCUACUGAUUACAAUUCUAAAGUCACUUCUUCGUCUUCCCCGUCUGAUACAUUUAUUGGGACU
This 481-nucleotide long non-coding RNA is filed under the name Physcomitrium patens. RNAcentral's name for it is "long non-coding RNA (PPAT_LNC006387)". The record is from RNAcentral. Lineage: Eukaryota; Viridiplantae; Streptophyta; Bryopsida; Funariales; Funariaceae.